UUGUUAUGGGAUCGCGCCGGCUGACCGCCACAAGGUCGGCCCUACAAAUCCCAUAUAGGGUCAUGUGGGGUCCUAUAGGGUUCUAUGGGGUCUUAUGCGGUGUUAUAGGGUCGUGUGGGGUCAUAUGGGGUCAUAAUGUGUUGUUAUGGGAUCGCGCCGGCGGACCGCCACAAGGUCGGCCCUACAAAUCCCAUAUAGGGUUUAUGGGGUGGUAUAGGGUCCUAUGGGGUCUUAUAGGGUCGUGUGGGGUCAUAUGCGGUCAUAAUGUGUUGUUAUGGGAUCGCGCCGGCGGACUGGCACAAGGUUGGCCCUACAAAUCCCAUAUUGGGUUGUGUGGGGUGUUAUAGGGUCCUAUGGGGUCUUAUAGGGUCGUGUGGGGCCAUAAGGGGUCAUGAUGUGUUGUUAUGGGAUCGCACCAGCAGGCCAGCCCUAUAAAUCCUAUAUAGGGUCAUAUGGGGUGGUGUGGGGUCUUAUAGGGGCGUGUGGGGUCGUAUGGGGUCAUAAUGUGUUAUUAUGGGAUUGCACCAGCAGGCCGGCCCUAUAGAUCCCAUAUAGGGCUUUAUGGGGUGGUGUGGGGUCAUAUGGGGAUAUAUAGGGUCCUGUAGGGUUGUAUGGGGCCGUGUGGGCUUAUGUGGGUUUUAUGGGGUUCCUAAUGGGUUCUAUGGGGUCUGUGGGUUCUAUGGGGUCCCUAUGGGAUCUACGGGUUCUAUGGGGUCUCUAUGGGUUCUGUGGGAUCCCAGUGGGUUCUGUGGGGUCCCAAUGGGCUCUAUGGGUUCUAUGGGAUCCCAAGGGGUUCUAUGGGGUCCCAAUGGGUUCUAUGGGAUCCCAAUGGGCUCUAUGGGUUCUAUGGGGUCCCAAUGGGCUCUAUGGGUUCUAUGGGAUCCCAAUGGGCUCUAUGGGUUCUAUGGGGUUGCUGUGGGUUCUAUGGGUUCUAUGGGAUCCCAAUGGGCUCUGUGGGUUCUAUGGGGUCCCAAUGGGCUCUGUGGGUUCUAUGGGUUCUAUGGGGUCCCUGUGUGCUCUAUGGGUUCUAU
This 1031-nucleotide long non-coding RNA is filed under the name Phasianus colchicus (ring-necked pheasant). RNAcentral describes it as "lncRNA (ENSPCLG00000017142.1)". Lineage: Eukaryota; Metazoa; Chordata; Aves; Galliformes; Phasianidae. The record is from RNAcentral.